Molecule: ribosomal RNA, 253 nt
Filed under: uncultured bacterium
Lineage: Bacteria
Description: partial 16S ribosomal RNA
Rfam family: Bacterial small subunit ribosomal RNA
Source: RNAcentral
UACGAAGGGGGCUAGCGUUGUUCGGAAUUACUGGGCGUAAAGCGCACGUAGGCGGGUCGUUAAGUCAGGGGUGAAAUCCCAGAGCUCAACUCUGGAACUGCCUUUGAUACUGGCGAUCUUGAGUUCGGAAGAGGUAAGUGGAAUUCCCAGUGUAGAGGUGAAAUGCGUAGAUAUUGGGAAGAACACCAGUGGCGAAGGCGGCUUACUGGUCCGAUACUGACGCUGAGGUGCGAAAGCGUGGGGAGCAAACAGG